AUUGAACGCUGGCGGCAGGCCUAACACAUGCAAGUCGAGCGAGCGGCGGACGGGUGAGUAAUGUCUGGGAAACUGCCUGAUGGAGGGGGAUAACUACUGGAAACGGUAGCUAAUACCGCAUACCAUCGGAUGUGCCCAGAUGGGAUUAGCUUGUAGGUGAGGUAACGGCUCACCUAGGCGACGAUCCCUAGCUGGUCUGAGAGGAUGACCAGCCACACUGGAACGGAGACACGGCCCAGACUCCUACGUGAGGCAGACGUGGGGGAUAUUGCACCAGGGGCGCAAGCCUGAUGCAGCCAUGCCGCGUGUAUGAAGAAGGCCUUCGGGUUGUCCAGUAAUUUCAGCGGGGAGGCUUUACCCGAAGAAGAAGCACCGGCUAACUCCGUGCCAGCAGCCGCGGUAAUAC
Molecule: ribosomal RNA, 406 nt
Filed under: uncultured bacterium
Lineage: Bacteria
Description: partial 16S ribosomal RNA
Rfam family: Bacterial small subunit ribosomal RNA
Source: RNAcentral